GGGGGCGUUUUUGGAUUCGACGGGGAUAGUUCGGGCAUGGAUAGCGGGUAGUGGGGCUGUGUCCACUCUAAAACGCGGAAGCCUAUUAAACGGCAAACAACAACAAACCUACGCUUUCGCAGCCUAAUAACCUGUGAGCGUGCUUCUACCUUCCAUCGCCCAUGUGGCAGGAUAGGGGCUAACCUAUAGUGGGAUACGCUGUCUCAUCUCCGCCUGGGGUGAACUGAAGAAGACAAUCAGGCUGACCUUAUGAGGACCCUGUUGCAGGGGGCCGCCUAAGGUGACAUCAAAACUGCAACUACACCCGUAGAAGUCUAUGUUGCGUUGUCUUCGGACAGGGGUUCAACUCCCCUCGCCUCCAU
RNAcentral lists this transfer-messenger RNA (362 nucleotides) under Gorillibacterium timonense. It matches the Rfam family "transfer-messenger RNA". Rfam says of the family: Bacterial tmRNA, also known as 10Sa RNA or SsrA, is named for its dual tRNA and mRNA-like properties. The record is from RNAcentral. Lineage: Bacteria; Bacillati; Bacillota; Bacilli; Caryophanales; Paenibacillaceae.